UCAGUUUAUAGAGACCUGUUUUGCUGAUUUAUCAGAAUUAUCAAAAGACCUUAAUGGGUUCCCAUGAAACUUCCUUCUGUGAGAGAGAUGGCUUGCAGUGUAUCUCCCCAAAGCAGUUCAAGAGUUGUGAAGGGGAAGGAUGACUGACUGAUCCAGGCUGAACAGAAACUUGACUCCUCUGCUGUUGAUUUUGGCCCUCUGGGAUUUGCUCAAGGAGAUUCAGAGAGAAAGUAGAGUGCAACCACACGAUUCCAUGUUUCUUCUGAUAUACUAUUU
RNAcentral lists this long non-coding RNA (276 nucleotides) under Pogona vitticeps (central bearded dragon). RNAcentral's name for it is "lncRNA (ENSPVIG00000023052.1)". Lineage: Eukaryota; Metazoa; Chordata; Lepidosauria; Squamata; Agamidae. The record is from RNAcentral.